RNAcentral lists this non-coding RNA (26 nucleotides) under Drosophila melanogaster (fruit fly). The record is from RNAcentral. Lineage: Eukaryota; Metazoa; Arthropoda; Insecta; Diptera; Drosophilidae.
UAAGACUUUACCGUCAAUGACGGGAA